UUGCUUCAGUGGCACAUAUACCAAAGCUGGAAUGACACAGAAAUUAGUAUGGCCCCUGAGCAAGGAUGACACACAAAUUAAGGAAAUGUUCCAUAUUUUU
This 100-nucleotide small nuclear RNA is filed under the name Choloepus hoffmanni (Hoffmann's two-fingered sloth). Lineage: Eukaryota; Metazoa; Chordata; Mammalia; Pilosa; Megalonychidae. The record is from RNAcentral.